Molecule: RNA transcript, 1740 nt
Organism: Drosophila nasuta
Lineage: Eukaryota; Metazoa; Arthropoda; Insecta; Diptera; Drosophilidae
Gene name: alaserpin-like
Exons: 5
Source: RefSeq, a predicted model, not a curated record
GCAAGCAUUCAGUCAUCAACUCGACGCCAAGACAAACAGAUAUCAGAAACCAAAUAUAAAUAAAAAUAAAAAUAAAAACAUAAAAAGCAAUAGAGCGACCAAAGCACCGAUUGUAAAUCUACUUCAAACGAAAUCAGUAUUAAUUCUUUGUGUGACACACUCGCUACUGCUGUUGCUGAUUUUACAGCCACCUCUGAACUACGCCCAAAUCCACGUCCAUCACCAAUCCAGAAACAGUAUGGCUAGCCCCGAUAGCAACAAUGUGGCCGAAUUCUCGCGCCGCUUGGCCACAUUCUCGAUCAAUGUGUACAACAAACUGAUCACGCAGAAACCCAAUCAGAACAUCAUCUUCUCACCCUUCUCAAUUCAAACCUGUGCAGCCAUGGCCCGCCUAGGAGCCGUAGGCGAAACAGCUGCCCAAUUGGAUCGCGGCCUUGGACUGAUUUCGAAUAAUGAAGCACAGAUUGCAGAGAGUUUCCACCGUGUGCUCACAGCUUACGAGAACAGUAGCAUUCUGCAUAUUGCCAACAAGAUAUAUAUCAUGACUGGUUUCCAACUCAAAGAUGACUUCAGUUCACUGAUCUCCAAACAGUUUCUAUCUGCUGUCGAAACCGUAGAUUUCUCCAAAAAUGUUGAGGCUGCAGGUAAAAUUAACACCUGGGUGGAGCAGCGCACCAAUAAUCUCAUAAAAAAUCUGGUAUCACCAAGUGCAUUGGGUCAAGACUCGCGCUUGGUGCUGAUCAAUGCGAUACACUUCAAGGGAAAUUGGGUACAUCAAUUCCCAGAACAUAUGACCCACAAUGAACCUUUCCAUUUGAACGACGCUGAUAGCAUUGAAGUUCCCAUGAUGAACUUGAAGAAACGUUUCCGGUAUGCGAACCUAGGUGAUCUGGAUGCCACAGCACUGGAAUUGCCCUACAAAGACUCGGACUUGUCCAUGCUGAUCGUGUUGCCGAAUAGCAAAACUGGUCUAUCACAACUGGAGGAGAAACUUCGCAGCACUCCGCUCUCCCAGAUUACUGGAGCACUCUACUCGACCGAUGUGAUUGUCAAACUGCCGAAGUUCAAGUCUGAGUUCGAGGUAGAGUUGACAGAGACCUUCAAGCAGUUGGGCAUGACGCAUUUGUUCUCGAAUGAUGCGGACUUCAGCAAAAUGCUCCAGAGUCCUGAGGCGUUGAAGGUAUCGAAAAUCAUUCACAAGGCCUUUAUCGAUGUGAAUGAGAAGGGCACUGAGGCAGCUGCAGCCACCGCAAUGGUUGUAUCUUGUGAAAUGAUGAUCAUCUCAUUUGAACCGGAGCCCAUCGAGUUUUUCGUUGAACAUCCAUUCUCUUAUUACAUUAUCAAUGAGAAUAAUGCGGUGCUGUUUGCUGGCAAGCAAUGUGGAAAAUUUUAAAUUUAAAGAAAACAAAAUUUUGUCUACAAUUAAAGUCAACGCUUUAAGUUUUAUUAAAGAAAAGUUAUUUAUUGGCAGCUUCUAAAUUAAAAUAAAAUUUUUAAUUAAUUGAAUUUACAUUAAGACGAAUAAGUUAUAUAUCAAAGAAUCCACAACAUAUUUCGUUGCUGUUCGUCCAGUUCGUCACACAUUAUUUUCAUUAUUUGUAAAUAAUUGUCCUUGCUCGAUUAGGAGUCCAAUCAUUACCAGCAGAGCAAAUAUUUAAAUAUUUUGUCAUUAAUAAAAAUCUACUAAAAACCAUAUUUUAAGUAUGUGGAAGAUUAUAAUAUUAAAUAAACAUUUUCCAA